RNAcentral lists this long non-coding RNA (1648 nucleotides) under Polistes fuscatus (common paper wasp). RNAcentral describes it as "uncharacterized LOC122522227". The record is from RNAcentral. Lineage: Eukaryota; Metazoa; Arthropoda; Insecta; Hymenoptera; Vespidae.
UUGGACGUGUUCACACUCUUUACAAUUUUCUAUUCAAUCUUUUUACAAAGAUCUAAUGAUUCCGGCAUAACUAACUAAUUAUCUUAACUGAAAAAAAAAUAUUUCCAUGAGUAUUAUAUACAUAUAUCUAAGAUAGUAAAUUAGUUUAAUUAAUAACAUUUUGGAGAUGGAGAACAAUUUUUUCAUAGAUCUUUGAACGAUCUUAUAUACAAGCUAUAAUUUAGUCUUGUAAUUAUCGUCGAGAUGUGAAAAGAGAAUUAAUUUAAUAAGAUAAUCGGGCCGAUUAAGCGAUAAUUGAAACGAUCGAACAUAACAUAAAUGACAAUUUUCGAUAAGAAGAGACCACGAGAAAUGGUUUUCUCAUUAGACGAGUCGGAUUAUGGGAUUUGUCUUGAAUUUGUCGAAUCGUUCUGAUUCCUUCCGAUAUUCUCCAAGGACGUUGAUCCCAGGCUAUUGAAAAUCGCGGGAGAAGAGUAUAAACCUAGUACGACGAUAGAUCCUUUUCGUCCUACUAGGUCUUCCUUUUGACGCGACGCAUUAUCAACGUAUAUACGUAUAUCUAUCAGCAGAGUAUAUACCCACAGCAUUGAAUGGGGAUGGUGCCAUCGAUGAAGAGAAAGAGAGAGAGAGAGAGAGUGCAUCGUGUUGUGUGUUCGUGUAUACGUCGAUCCGCAUUAUGGACUAUGUUCGUAUAUUACCAGUUCUCGAUACACGAAGCCUAUGCACGUCGCAUAGAAUAGACCGGUGGAUUACGCGUUAUAUACAGUCUGUGGGAUUUAAGGGAUAUCGUGUAGUAGUACACACACAAGAGAGUACAUUUUUUCCUUCCUCUUUUUUUUCUUCUAAUUAUAAGAAGAAGCCAUUUAGAAGGAAAGAGAGAGAAAAUAUCUCUAAGGAGAUUAGUAGUCUUUUCAUUAUCAUUUAUUUAAUCGAGUUUUAUCUAAUAUUUUUCAUUUAUUUCCAUCUUUUAACUUUAUGUAAUUUUCAUAUUUUUUAGAAUUAUAUUUGAGAUUAAGUUGACCGAGAAAGAUGACUAGCAAAAGUUGUUCUUAUCUUAUAUAUUUUAUGUAUUUAGUUAUAGGGAAUUUUAAAUUAGGAUUGUGAAGAGCAUUAUAUUUAUUUACAAUUAGAAUCUAAACGAGAUUCAUGUUUUAAGUAGUAUACAUCCAUAUGUCCUAUACAUGUAUAUACAUAUAUAUUAUAUAUAGCUAUAUAGGUAUAUGGAUUGGUUCGCACGUACGUGGUGUAGAAUCUAGUCGAGCAAGCGUGCAAUACACGUUCGAGCGUGACAGCACGUGGCUACAAUAUCGAAAUCUUGAUCAGCGUAUAGAUCGAGCGAAGAGCAUUCGUCAAGGUUCUUCAAGCUCCCUACAAAAUUGUGAUACCGAUCUUUUUCCUUGCAUUAAGCCGCUCGUCACGUGUCCGAACAUUUUUUGAACGAAACGUUUCGAAUAAUACGUAAGCAUGUAGGUGUACUAUAUUGGUAUGAUUAGGGCUAAACUAAAAAGUUUGAUGAUCCCAAUGAUUCGGUUCUUAUCUUUUGUUUUCUCUUAUAAUAUAGUUUAUUCUUAUUUAAAUUGCGAAUAAAACAUUGACUUAUAAAAGAUGUAAUGAAAUAAAAUAAUCACAAUAAAUCGCUAAAACGAUA